AUAGAAUCAUUGCUGCGGUUAAAAAGCUCGUAGUUGGAUCUGUGCAGUGGAUGUCGGUCCACCUUCGGGUGCGUACUGGCUAUCCCUGCUUUCACUGUCAGUUUGCCCCGGCGUCGCCUUCAUUGGUGGCGACGGGUGGCUGACGAUUUUACUUUGAACAAAUCAGAGUGCUUAAUACAGGCGUUUCGCUUGAAUGUUCUUGCAUGGAAUAAUAGAAAAGGAUUUCGGUUCUAUUUUAUUGGUUUUGUGGACUGAGAUAAUGGUUAACAGGGACAAACGGGGGCAUUCGUAUCGAUGCGUGAGAGGUGAAAUUCUUGGACCGUAUCGAGACGCCCUACUG
Molecule: ribosomal RNA, 340 nt
Filed under: Neopsilenchus magnidens
Lineage: Eukaryota; Metazoa; Nematoda; Chromadorea; Rhabditida; Tylenchidae
Description: SSU rRNA
Rfam family: Eukaryotic small subunit ribosomal RNA
Source: RNAcentral